CGUAACGCGUAUGCAACCUACCUUUAACUGGAGGAUAGCCCCGAGAAAUCGGGAUUAAUACUUCAUAACAUUAUGAUAUGGCAUCAUAUUAUAAUUAAAGCUCCGGCGGUUUUAGAUGGGCAUGCGUGACAUUAGUUUGUUGGUGAGGUAACGGCUCACCAAGACUACGAUGUCUAGGGGUUCUGAGAGGAUUUUCCCCCACACUGGUACUGAGACACGGACCAGACUCC
This 230-nucleotide ribosomal RNA is filed under the name uncultured bacterium. Its description in RNAcentral is "partial 16S ribosomal RNA". It matches the Rfam family "Bacterial small subunit ribosomal RNA", at positions 109 to 339 of the family's 1533-position model. The record is from RNAcentral.